Molecule: ribosomal RNA, 1372 nt
Filed under: uncultured bacterium
Lineage: Bacteria
Description: bacterial SSU rRNA
Rfam family: Bacterial small subunit ribosomal RNA
Source: RNAcentral
GAUGAACGCUGGCGGCGUGCCUAAUACAUGCAAGUCGAGCGAACGGACGAGAAGCUUGCUUCUCUGAUGUUAGCGGCGGACGGGUGAGUAACACGUGGAUAACCUACCUAUAAGACUGGGAUAACUUCGGGAAACCGGAGCUAAUACCGGAUAAUAUUUUGAACCGCAUGGUUCAAAAGUGAAAGACGGUCUUGCUGUCACUUAUAGAUGGAUCCGCGCUGCAUUAGCUAGUUGGUAAGGUAACGGCUUACCAAGGCAACGAUGCAUAGCCGACCUGAGAGGGUGAUCGGCCACACUGGAACUGAGACACGGUCCAGACUCCUACGGGAGGCAGCAGUAGGGAAUCUUCCGCAAUGGGCGAAAGCCUGACGGAGCAACGCCGCGUGAGUGAUGAAGGUCUUCGGAUCGUAAAACUCUGUUAUUAGGGAAGAACAUAUGUGUAAGUAACUGUGCACAUCUUGACGGUACCUAAUCAGAAAGCCACGGCUAACUACGUGCCAGCAGCCGCGGUAAUACGUAGGUGGCAAGCGUUAUCCGGAAUUAUUGGGCGUAAAGCGCGCGUAGGCGGUUUUUUAAGUCUGAUGUGAAAGCCCACGGCUCAACCGUGGAGGGUCAUUGGAAACUGGAAAACUUGAGUGCAGAAGAGGAAAGUGGAAUUCCAUGUGUAGCGGUGAAAUGCGCAGAGAUAUGGAGGAACACCAGUGGCGAAGGCGACUUUCUGGUCUGUAACUGACGCUGAUGUGCGAAAGCGUGGGGAUCAAACAGGAUUAGAUACCCUGGUAGUCCACGCCGUAAACGAUGAGUGCUAAGUGUUAGGGGGUUUCCGCCCCUUAGUGCUGCAGCUAACGCAUUAAGCACUCCGCCUGGGGAGUACGACCGCAAGGUUGAAACUCAAAGGAAUUGACGGGGACCCGCACAAGCGGUGGGGCAUGUGGUUUAAUUCGAAGCAACGCGAAGAACCUUACCAAAUCUUGACAUCCUUUGACAACUCUAGAGAUAGAGCCUUCCCCUUCGGGGGACAAAGUGACAGGUGGUGCAUGGUUGUCGUCAGCUCGUGUCGUGAGAUGUUGGGUUAAGUCCCGCAACGAGCGCAACCCUUAAGCUUAGUUGCCAUCAUUAAGUUGGGCACUCUAAGUUGACUGCCGGUGACAAACCGGAGGAAGGUGGGGAUGACGUCAAAUCAUCAUGCCCCUUAUGAUUUGGGCUACACACGUGCUACAAUGGACAAUACAAAGGGCAGCGAAACCGCGAGGUCAAGCAAAUCCCAUAAAGUUGUUCUCAGUUCGGAUUGUAGUCUGCAACUCGACUACAUGAAGCUGGAAUCGCUAGUAAUCGUAGAUCAGCAUGCUACGGUGAAUACGUUCCCGGGUCU